Chlorocebus sabaeus (green monkey) is the source of this 432-nucleotide non-coding RNA. The record is from RefSeq and is a predicted model, not a curated record. Lineage: Eukaryota; Metazoa; Chordata; Mammalia; Primates; Cercopithecidae.
AGGAAAAAUAAUGGUGGAUACCAAGGUGUGAGAUUACUGAGUCAAACGAUAGGCGCAUCCAAAGUGCGAAGGACUACUGUCCAAUGUGUUCUCCAAAAAGGUUGGCCAGUUUAUAUUCCCAGGAAUAUGAAUAUUUUCUGUCCACAAUUGGUUGAAUCUGUGGAUGUGGAAACUGCAGAUACAGAUGAAGAGCCGACUAUACUAGCUUUUUGUUUCCUUUUUCACUUCUGGGGUGUGUGUGUGUGGGUGUGUGUGUAUGGGUGUGUGUGUGUGUUUUAUUAAUCUCUUUGCCUGCAUAUUAGUUUCUUCCUCUUUAUUUGGAUUUUCACUAACAUUCUUUUCAGCUUCUUCAGUUGGAUACUUGUUGCCAAUAUACUUUUUUCAUUAUUAGAAUUAAAUAAAUGGGCCAGGCGUGGUGGCUCAUGCCUGUAA